GAGUUUGAUCAUGGCUCAGAUUGAACGCUGGCGGCAGGCCUAACACAUGCAAGUCGAGCGGUAGCACAGAGAAGCUUGCUUCUUGGGUGACGAGCGGCGGACGGGUGAGUAACGCGUGGGAAUCUGCCUGGUAGUGGGGGACAACAGUCGGAAACGACUGCUAAUACCGCAUACGCCCUUCGGGGGAAAGUGGGGGAUCUUCGGACCUCGCGCUAUCAGAUGAGCCCGCGUCGGAUUAGCUUGUUGGUGAGGUAAGAGCUCACCAAGGCGAUGAUCCGUAUCUGGUCUGAGAGGAUGAUCAGCCACACUGGGACUGAGACACGGCCCAGACUCCUACGGGAGGCAGCAGUGGGGAAUAUUGGACAAUGGGCGCAAGCCUGACCCAGCAACGCCGUGUGAGGGAUGAAGGUCUUCGGAUUGUAAACCUCUGUCACAAGGGAAGAAGUGCACGAGGUCCAAUAGGCCUUGUGUUCGACGGUACCUUCAGAGGAAGCACCGGCUAACUCCGUGCCAGCAGCCGCGGUA
RNAcentral lists this ribosomal RNA (525 nucleotides) under uncultured Gammaproteobacteria bacterium. RNAcentral describes it as "bacterial SSU rRNA". It matches the Rfam family "Bacterial small subunit ribosomal RNA", at positions 9 to 522 of the family's 1533-position model. The record is from RNAcentral. Lineage: Bacteria; Pseudomonadati; Pseudomonadota; Gammaproteobacteria.